This 443-nucleotide ribosomal RNA is filed under the name Lactococcus lactis. RNAcentral's name for it is "bacterial SSU rRNA". It matches the Rfam family "Bacterial small subunit ribosomal RNA", at positions 28 to 461 of the family's 1533-position model. The record is from RNAcentral. Lineage: Bacteria; Bacillati; Bacillota; Bacilli; Lactobacillales; Streptococcaceae.
GACGAACGCUGGCGGCGUGCCUAAUACAUGCAAGUUGAGCGCUGAAGGUUGGUACUUGUACCGACUGGAUGAGCAGCGAACGGGUGAGUAACGCGUGGGGAAUCUGCCUUUGAGCGGGGGACAACAUUUGGAAACGAAUGCUAAUACCGCAUAAAAACUUUAAACACAAGUUUUAAGUUUGAAAGAUGCAAUUGCAUCACUCAAAGAUGAUCCCGCGUUGUAUUAGCUAGUUGGUGAGGUAAAGGCUCACCAAGGCGAUGAUACAUAGCCGUCCUGAGAGGGUGAUCGGCCACAUUGGGACUGAGACACGGCCCAAACUCCUACGGGAGGCAGCAGUAGGGAAUCUUCGGCAAUGGACGAAAGUCUGACCGAGCAACGCCGCGUGAGUGAAGAAGGUUUUCGGAUCGUAAAACUCUGUUGGUAGAGAAGAACGUUGGUGAGAG